UUUAUUCGUUUAGCGGGACGAAGCAAUGUCCUGUGUUGGCGCUGUACUACUGAGGCGGAAGUCGAUUGAAGGCAAGCCUCAUGUGCAACGAGGGGCUACUUCG
This 103-nucleotide small RNA is filed under the name Sinorhizobium meliloti 2011. RNAcentral describes it as "putative ncRNA". The record is from RNAcentral. Lineage: Bacteria; Pseudomonadati; Pseudomonadota; Alphaproteobacteria; Hyphomicrobiales; Rhizobiaceae.